Molecule: ribosomal RNA, 319 nt
Filed under: uncultured Clostridium sp.
Lineage: Bacteria; Bacillati; Bacillota; Clostridia; Eubacteriales; Clostridiaceae
Description: bacterial SSU rRNA
Rfam family: Bacterial small subunit ribosomal RNA
Source: RNAcentral
GAUGAACGCUGGCGGCGUGCUUAACACAUGCAAGUCGAACGAAGCCAAAAGGAAGCUUGCUUUCUUUGAAGCUUAGUGGCGGACGGGUGAGUAACGCGUGAGGAACCUGCCCUUCAGUGGGGAAUAACAGCCGGAAACGACUGAUAAUACCGCAUAAGCGCACGGGGAGACAUCUCCUAGUGUGAAAAGAGAUAUCGGUAUGGGAUGGGUCCGCGUCCGAUUAGCCAGUUGGCGGGGUAAAAGCCCACCAAAGCGACGAUCGGUAGCCGGCCUGAGAGGGCGGACGGCCACAUUGGGACUGAGACACGGCCCAGACUCC